UAGGACACCAGCCACAUCCGCCGCGAGGCGGAGCCGGAAAGCCACGGGUCUUGGACGACAAGACGGCCGGGUUGCCUUC
Molecule: non-coding RNA, 79 nt
Filed under: Methylomonas sp.
Lineage: Bacteria; Pseudomonadati; Pseudomonadota; Gammaproteobacteria; Methylococcales; Methylococcaceae
Also listed under: 1 other name
Description: c-di-GMP sequence
Rfam family: c-di-GMP-I riboswitch aptamer
About the family: GEMM was predicted in a large-scale screen for bacterial structured RNA regulatory elements. Genes associated with GEMM are involved in a diverse array of functions, including chemotaxis regulation, signal transduction, secretion and chitin.
Source: RNAcentral